This is a regulatory RNA element of Listeria grayi DSM 20601, 253 nucleotides long. It matches the Rfam family "Listeria sRNA rli54". The record is from Rfam. Lineage: Bacteria; Bacillati; Bacillota; Bacilli; Caryophanales; Listeriaceae.
GUAUACACAAUCAGGAAAGUCAGAGAUAACUUGAGGCAUACGGAUUGCUACUUUUUUCUGUGAUUGCUUGAAGCAGUGCUCUGUAUAACUUGUUAAUAAGGAAAGGAAGAGAUACAAAAUGGCUUCUAAAGCGAAGAAGGCAGUUAUUGAUGUAAAGAAACAGUUUGAUACCGUUGGCAAGCAAUUUGAAAUGGUUCAAAUCUUAAAUGAAAAAGGGGAAGUCGUGAGUCCAGACUUAAUGCCUGACUUAACG